UCGUCUUGUUGAUUACCUAAG
Molecule: non-coding RNA, 21 nt
Filed under: Caenorhabditis elegans
Lineage: Eukaryota; Metazoa; Nematoda; Chromadorea; Rhabditida; Rhabditidae
Source: RNAcentral